GCCAGGCGCCGUGGCACAUGUCUGUAGUCCCAGCUACUCCGGAGGCUGAAGUGGGAGAUGACUUGAGCCCAGGAGUUCUGGGCUGUAGUGCGCUAUGCCGAUUGGGUGUCUGCACUAAAUUCAGCAUCAAUAUGGUGACCUCCCGGGAGCGGGAAACCACCAUGUUGCCUAAGGAGGGAUGAACUGGCUCAGGUCUGAAACGGAGCAGGUCAAAACUCCUCUGCUGAUCAGCAGUAGGAUUGCACCUGUGAAUAGUCACUGCACUCCAGCCUGGGCAACAUUAGCAAGACCCGUCUCU
RNAcentral lists this signal recognition particle RNA (298 nucleotides) under Aotus nancymaae (Ma's night monkey). RNAcentral's name for it is "Metazoan signal recognition particle RNA (ENSANAG00000007875.1)". It matches the Rfam family "Metazoan signal recognition particle RNA". Rfam says of the family: The signal recognition particle (SRP) is a universally conserved ribonucleoprotein. The record is from RNAcentral. Lineage: Eukaryota; Metazoa; Chordata; Mammalia; Primates; Aotidae.